Molecule: non-coding RNA, 1096 nt
Organism: Manis javanica (Malayan pangolin)
Lineage: Eukaryota; Metazoa; Chordata; Mammalia; Pholidota; Manidae
Source: RefSeq, a predicted model, not a curated record
UGUGUGCCCAUCUUGGUAGAAAUUUAAAGUAAUGUUUCUUACUGGCAGCUGUCCUUAAUUUUUGGAAAAUUGAGUGGUGGACUGAGUUUACCUAUUCCCCCUUCAUAAGUGUUUUCCAAAAUAUAUUCCACAGAAUGUAUUAAUAGUAAAGGGUACUUGAGAUUAAAUGUAUUUGAGAACAUUGGACUAUACAAAGGUGAAGUUGAUUUUUCUACUGCAGGACACCCUAAACUUUUAUAUGAUAAUAAGUGUUGUUACUUUCCAAAUGCAAACAGUGUUUCUCAAAGUUUACUCUGGAAGUUCUUCAUUGAGUAUCCCUGGGCUCUAGUAUUCUGUGAAGCACAUGUCAGGAAAUGUGAAACUAGAGGCUGGUCUGAAGACCAGCAUCUCAAAAAUAUAGCUGAGGUUUCUUAGGAAGUUUUUAAUCCGGGAGAGAUGGGGUAGGAUGAAAGAGCAGUGGGAUUUACAUUCAACCAAAAAAGAAAAAUUUUAACUUGGAAAGCUUAAAAUAAUCAGUCAUUUUUAAGUAAGCUCUAAAGGCAAUCAACUUAUGGUAGCUAUGAGAAUUAAGAGCUGAAGUAAGCCACCCAGCAAUGAGAGUUAAUAAUUUGUAUUAGCUAUAAUUCACAAAGUAGACUUGAGGUAUAUGCUUUGGCUGUUUAGGUGAUAGUCUUUUAAAACAGGCCAUUUUAAAGAAAGUGCGGCAGCAGAGUCACUCCUUUAUCCUUGCACUUUUCACAGGGAAAUGAGCCUCUUGAACCCUCAUACAUAGUGGGGCAUGUGGCCUCAGCACCCAAAGAACAAAACCUGACUACUUUAUUCAAUGACGGGGAGAACAGUCAGGGUCUUAAAAAUGACUUUGUUCGGAAUAUUUUGUGGACAUUUGAAGAUAUACAUAUGUUAGUCGGCUCCAACAUGCCCAUAUUCGGAGGAGGCAGAUAUCCAGCAGUCAGCCUGCGUCUCAGGGAUAACAACAAACCAAUUAAUGUGCUAACCGGAAUUGACUAUUGGUUGGACAACUUGAUAUGCAAUGUACCAGAGCUUGUGAUGUGUUUUCAUGUAAAUGGAAUCGUACAGGUAAGCUACAGUGUGACUU